UACGUAGGGUGCAAGCGUUAAUCGGAAUUACUGGGCGUAAAGCGUGCGCAGGCGGUUUUGUAAGUUUGUCGUGAAAGCCCCGGGCUCAACCUGGGAAUUGCGAUGAAGACUGCAAGGCUUGAAUCUGGCAGAGGGGGGUAGAAUUCCACGUGUAGCAGUGAAAUGCGUAGAGAUGUGGAGGAACACCGAUGGCGAAGGCAGCCCCCUGGGUCAAGAUUGACGCUCAUGCACGAAAGCGUGGGGAGCAAACAGGAUUAGAUACCCUGGUAGUCCACGCCCUAAACGAUGUCUACUAGUUGUCGGGUUUUGAUUAACUUGGUAACGCAGCUAACGCGUGAAGUAGACCGCCUGGGGAGUACGGUCGCAAGAUUAAAACUCAAAG
Molecule: ribosomal RNA, 382 nt
Filed under: uncultured bacterium
Lineage: Bacteria
Description: bacterial SSU rRNA
Rfam family: Bacterial small subunit ribosomal RNA
Source: RNAcentral